Oncorhynchus keta (chum salmon) is the source of this 1442-nucleotide RNA transcript. It is a transcript of the gene named S-formylglutathione hydrolase-like, with no coding region annotated. The record is from RefSeq and is a predicted model, not a curated record. Lineage: Eukaryota; Metazoa; Chordata; Actinopteri; Salmoniformes; Salmonidae. The transcript has 5 exons.
CCGGAAGUCUUCAUGUGGCUGGUAUCUCGCUCGUGUUGUUUUGGGACCCUCUCCUUGGUUGGACCCUUCUUUGUCGAGUUCUCUGCCCUGGCUGUCCAAUGACAUUCGAACCAUUUUCUAUUCUAAUUUUCUAUGCAGUUGUGGACUAUGAACCGCGACUUUCAUUUCUUAGCAUAUGCAUAACAGUCUAGUAGUAGUUAAAAAAAAAUGCAAUGUUAUAUUUUAAUCAAAACUUUUGCAGCAAGAUUUUUUAAAGAAUUCCAAUAAUUAUGUAACACUUUCUUACGUGGGCUUGUCAAAGGUAACUGAACUAUGGCCCUCACUCAAGUGGCUACCAGAAGCACUGAGCUCAAGUGUCAAAUUAAUUUAGCCAUCUACCUGCCUCCAAAGACUGAGAAUGGGAAGUGUCCUGUCUUGUACUGGCUCUCAGGUGGUUGUAACAUCGAGGGUAAAGAUGAGAGCUGGGACUUUGGCACAGGUUUCUAUGUCAACGCCACCCAGGAGUCCUGGAAGAGCAACUACCGCAUGUACGCCUACGUCAGAGAGAAUAUGUCUAUUUCUGUCCACUCCAUGGGGGGGGCACAGAGCCCUGACGAAGCCUGGAAAAUACAAGGCAUGGCAAGUCACAGUCUUUGACUCAUGAUAUAGUCAUUAUGUAAUAUACACAUGUGAAUGAAGCCCCCACCCCUCUCUACAGUCUGUGUCUCUUGUUUGCCACCAUCUGCAACCCCAGCCAGAAGGCCUUCAAUGGGUACCUGGGAAAAGACAAGAAAGCCUGGGAGGCGUAUGAUGUCACGGUGCUUGCAGCGUCCUACUCCGGCCCUCAGCUGGACAUCCUGAUCGACCAGGGCAGUGAUGACUAGUUCCUGUCGGCAGGUCAUUUGCUUCCUGACAACCUGAUCGCCUCCUGCUCAGUGAAGAUCCCUGUGGUGUUCAGGCUGCAGCCGGUCAGUGCUUCCACCCAGUGGCCAACUACAGCAACUGUUUGAUAUUUAACAAUUUAAUGUGCUGUACUUUAGUUUGGAAUUUGAAUUAUUGUGUAUUGUACCAGAUGAAGUGUUAUUGUAAUAUCCGUGUCACCUUCAGGGCUACGACCAUAGCUACUUCUUCAUCAAUGACCACAUUAAGCACCAUGCCAAGUUCCUCAACGCUUUAGACCAUGACUGCUGGACCAGAACCCAACCAGGCGUUCUCCUCUAUGCCUUCUCCUCCCAACUGUGCACCUGCUACUAUGCACCUGUCCCAUACAGAGAGACGUAGGUGCCUGGUGAACUGACAUUAACCUGAUACGCCUGGUGAGCUGAAAUGAACACACCUGCUGUGUUGAGUCAAGCUGAGAAAAAGACAAUAGUGAGAGCAGGAUGUUUGUUAAGAGGAGCUUGCUUGCCACCCACAUGGUCACUCCAACUGGAUAAAAAAAUAAAUGUUACUCCUUUUGAUUA